Long non-coding RNA from Xiphophorus hellerii (green swordtail), 1404 nucleotides. RefSeq lists it as uncharacterized. NCBI's taxonomy places the organism in Eukaryota, Metazoa, Chordata, Actinopteri, Cyprinodontiformes, Poeciliidae. The record is from RefSeq and is a predicted model, not a curated record. The transcript is spliced from 3 exons.
ACAGUCAUUUUCUGUAUACCCCUAUUUUUUAUGUAUAGGUAAAUGCUCUUAAAGUAGAACAUUGGUGAUUCUCAUCAAGAAAAAAUGGAAACAUCUUACUUGGGCUAAGGAGAAAAAUGGACUGUUGCUCUAAAUGAAUCAUUUCAGUAGGACCUGAAGAAGAACAACAUUCAGGUUUCUUGAUGUCUGAAUUGAUCUGACUUGAUCCCUACAGAAAAUCUAUGGUGUCCUCAAGAUGAUGAGAAACACCAGAAACAAGCUGUAGGUCUCCAACAAAAGAAGUUGGGCUUCUUUAGCACAUCACCUUAGUCACAGAUGGAUUGCCUAUGUGACGUGUUGUAUUGAUGCAGUAACUGAAAGAGUAUGGAGUAAAAAUGGUCUCAAAAUAUCUGUGCGUGUGUAAAAGUAUCUGUGCCUGUGUAAUACUGGAUUUGUAACUAGUGUUAGCAUCGUUGUGUGUAAUUUUGGAUAGUUGUCUGUGAAACAUGAAUUGUAAACCGUAAAAAGAAAAUAAAUUUCUCCUACCCCUACAAAUGUUGAAAAAGUACGCACGGGUAUACAGACACACAAAACUGUAUUUACGCACAGAUCCGGUUACGAGUGCACAAGUAGUUUUGAGACUCAUUUCACGCUUCCGGAGCUCCCAGAUUUGUGUGUAGAUGGUACGUUUACAUGCUAGUAGAAAGCUGGGUCAUCUUAUUUUUGCUGCUUGUGUAGAAGUGGCAAAUACGUUAGUUCGAUGGAAAACGGUAUAUCUCAGUACUUCCUUAUAAUAUUCCAAAAAUUAUUUAGACAUUGUGCAUUUUUGAGCGGUACAGGAGACUACGUGGUCUGAAAAACGACCACUGGGUGGCGGAAUGGUUCGCUGGCCGGAAAAAUAGGCAGGCAAACCAAGAAGCAAGACGGAGCAUCCCGGUGGUCUGUCAUCAGAACAGUAUUGAAGGUAGACCUGGACCUGUAGGAACAUCAUCUGCUGCUAGACUUUAUUCACCAGAACGAACUGAAAGACAAUCUGCAGCAGCUGAGAUUCUGGGAGGUUAAACACCAAAACCUCAAGCUUUAAAUUGUGCCGUCGACUGGACCAAGAUGCCUUCCAACCCACUGCAGUAGUUAAUGUGCUCUGUUGGUAGACAUUAUGGUGUCUCCUUAAUCUGUAGAGCCUGUCCAUGGUCGGCUUUGAAUACACAGCUUUAUGGCGUUUUCUUUUGUUAAUUGAUUAUAGUAAAUAUUUAGACAUCCAUGUAAGUUUUAAGACAUUUAAUUGUUAACUUUAGGUAGCUGUGAAACCACCCAUGUUAAUUUGAACCUAUUUUGUUGAAAAUUCAACAGAUUUGUUGCAAUCUUAAGUAUUUAAUCUGUCCUUUGUGUGCAGUGAAAUGAACAUUAAAGUUAAUUCAGAAAACA